Molecule: transfer RNA, 76 nt
Filed under: Arsenicicoccus sp. oral taxon 190
Lineage: Bacteria; Bacillati; Actinomycetota; Actinomycetes; Micrococcales; Intrasporangiaceae
Description: tRNA-Arg
Rfam family: tRNA
About the family: Transfer RNA (tRNA) molecules are approximately 80 nucleotides in length. Their secondary structure includes four short double-helical elements and three loops (D, anti-codon, and T loops).
Source: RNAcentral
GCCUCCAUAGCUCAAUGGAUAGAGCAUCGGCCUUCUAAUCCGACGGUUGCAGGUUCGAGUCCUGCUGGAGGCGCCA